CGCGGCCUAUCAGCUUGUUGGUGGGGUAAUGGCCUACCAAGGCGACGACGGGUAGCCGGCCUGAGAGGGCGACCGGCCACACUGGGACUGAGACACGGCCCAGACUCCUACGGGAGGCAGCAGUGGGGAAUAUUGCACAAUGGGCGGAAGCCUGAUGCAGCGACGCCGCGUGAGGGAUGACGGCCUUCGGGUUGUAAACCUCUUUCAGCAGGGAAGAAGCGAAAGUGACGGUACCUGCAGAAGAAGCGCCGGCUAACUACGUGCCAGCAGCCGCGGUAAUACGUAGGGCGCAAGCGUUGUCCGGAAUUAUUGGGCGUAAAGAGCUCGUAGGCGGCUUGUCGCGUCGGAUGUGAAAGCCCGGGGCUUAACCCCGGGUCUGCAUUCGAUACGGGCAGGCUAGAGUUCGGUAGGGGAGAUCGGAAUUCCUGGUGUAGCGGUGAAAUGCGCAGAUAUCAGGAGGAACACCGGUGGCGAAGGCGGAUCUCUGGGCCGAUACUGACGCUGAGGAGCGAAAGCGUGGGGAGCGAACAGGAUUAGAUACCCUGGUAGUCCACGCCGUAAACGGUGGGAACUAGGUGUUGGCGACAUUCCACGUCGUCGGUGCCGCAGCUAACGCAUUAAGUUCCCCGCCUGGGGAGUACGG
RNAcentral lists this ribosomal RNA (643 nucleotides) under uncultured Actinomycetes bacterium. Its description in RNAcentral is "bacterial SSU rRNA". It matches the Rfam family "Bacterial small subunit ribosomal RNA", at positions 232 to 885 of the family's 1533-position model. Lineage: Bacteria; Bacillati; Actinomycetota; Actinomycetes. The record is from RNAcentral.